AGUUGGCAAACACCACUGAGCACUGCCUGCAGUUGGGGGAGGUGCUGACUUGUGAAACCUUUGUUUCAGUUCAUGUGCCUGUGGACUGGGUCAAGGUGUAAAUAUAUUUCUUACCGUGGAAACUGGUAAAAUCUGCCAGCCAUCGGUUCUAGGAAAUGGAUUUGAGCUGUUUGCUUUGUUUUUCUAAGAACAGCACCACCAGUCAGACUGACAGUAUCAUCUAUCUCUAUCUUAGUCGGGAUGGAUUUGGUAAGAUACCACUCCCUCACCUGUGAGAGACUCCAACUUGCCGGCUGUCCAAGGAAGACAAAAUGGAGCAUUGCCCCACGGCCCAGUAAGGGAGAUUCCUGUUAUGCAUGCCUGCCAAUUCUUAAGAUGAUGAGCACUGGAUUUGAUUAGAAGCGGGUUUUCUCACACAUAACCCCGCCCACCAGCCAGCCAAACUGCAGAUGAGCACCAUGUAUGCCAAACAAAUGUUGUUGGCAGAGGAUGAGCAAGGCUUUGUCCAACCCUCCUCUACGGGCAGUGAGAAUGAGACACCAAGAGCCAGAGGAUGGCAGGACAGCUGCUGACACCGAGGUCCCCUGAGUUCAGCCCAGAGGCAUUCUCCUACCUUACCCAUGGCCCCCUCCAGCCAUGUGAUAGUAGCAGGAAAAUUCGUACACUUGUCAGAACCUGAAGACUAGAAGAGACAAAGGAAAUGCCGAGGUCAGCAAGAAUUCUGCAGCUGACGCUGGGCCAGCAAUGGAUGAGGCCCUCGGAGCAUGGGUGUCAGAGGGGAGCAUCUUCCAAUGAGAUCGAAUUUCUUACUUCACUGCAAGAGGACCGUUUUCUGAAUGGGUCCUAUCUGUGAGCAGGUGCACAGAUAGGGAACUUGUUGAAAUGUCUGUGGGAACCGAUACGAGAAUGAGGGAGGGAGUGAAUGAGUUGCAUAGGACUGCUUCGGAUAUAAACUAACCUUUCUCCCGGUUUGCUUCAGUGUUAAGUAACCUGUUGAAUGUCUUUCUUAAAUGAGAUGAAGCCCAGAAUCCAGGGAUCUGUUUCAAGCACGGUGGAUUUCUCCACAUCACUCACAAGAACUGGCUUCGCCUCGCCUGUGUCCCCGCUCUCAUUACUGGAACGCCAGCCCUGCAUGGGGAGGGGGAAGGGGGGCUGCCACUCCUUUGCCCUCAGCAUCACUGGUGCAGCUGGGCUGGGGCAGGAAGUGGUGGACAGAGGAUGCUUCCCUGCCGCUGUGGGGCUGUCUGCAAACCACCUCCGCAUACACGCAGCUUCUGCAGCUGGACUGGGUUGCAGGCUUUUGGGCUGCGGACAGAUGCCAGGACCAAUGUCAACACCAUGAUGCAAACACUGAAAACAAACGGGAGAAAGUGUGUUUUGCAUCCAGGUCCUGGUUUCACGGUCGUAUUUGCUGACCCAGCACAUCACUCUCGCUGAAUCUUAAUGAAAAUAUUUUGGACAUAGGUGCUUUCGUUAAAGUGACUUCAGAGCAUCGUUGAUCCAGGUUCUCAGUGGGACACGGUGCUGCCUCCCGUGGCUGUGGACUGGCCAGUGUCAAAGCAAUGCCACAUUUCACUUUUUUCUGCUACAUCUCCUUGCUCUGCCAGCUUUAUUUUUAUUUUACAAGACAGCACAAUGUCUUGGUGGAGGUUUGGUGCUGGAAGCCCAUCCGGAUCCCGGCUUCUCCACCCAGAUGCUGAAGCCCCUCCACCCUGUCAUGUUCCUUUCUCAUCUGGCAUUCCAGGGAUCCCACGUGAGCCCAGCUCUUGGUCCUCUGCUCUGGACAUUUGUCUGUGAUAACAUGGCUACAUCUGCUUUUCCCCCAGAGGCUCCAUGGUAGCCCUUACCUGAUCUUCAGAUUUGAGACCUAAUUUUCUGGAAAGAUAUCACUCAAGAUCUUGAACCAGGAGGAAUGGAACUUUCACUGCUCUCUGAACCGCUAUAUUGCUGCAAAACUACAUGUAGUACAACCUUGGGUUUAUGUUUCACAAUUAAAAAAAUUAUAAGCCUUACUCUGAAUGGAAAUCCAUUCUAGUGGGAGACCUUAAACCAGGGUUCCAUGAAAGCCCCCAGAAGCAGAUGACACUGCAAAGGAGACUGCUUUCACAAGACUCUCAGAACAGGUACCAGGCUAAUCACAACAUUAUUUGAUCCUUCCCUGGUGACGUGGAUACCAUAACCAUCUCCAUAUUAUGGAUGAGGAUAAUGAAGCUCAGAAAGGUUAACAGGAACUUGCGGGCCAGAGAGCAACUGGAACUCCCAUUCAUACAUUGUCCGUGGGAAUAUCAAUUGGUACAACUGCCUUUGGAAACAGUUUGGCAUUUUUUAUAAGGUUAAACAUACACUUACCAUAAACCCUAGCAUUUGCUCUUUGAGGCAUUGGUUCUCUCCAAGAAAAGUGAAAACCACUAGUGUUCAUAAUAGUAUUAGGCACAGUAGCACCACACUGGAGACAACCCGACCCAUUUUCCCAUCAGUAAGUGAAUGGAUAAACAAGUUGGGACAUAGCCUUACAAUAGGUCACCACUUUGCCGUAAAAAGGAACUGACUACUGAUAUACGAAACCACUAGGGAUGAAUUGUGAAGUCAUUAUCUUAAGAGAAGGAAGCCAGACACAGAGAGAGCACAGACAGCAUGAUUGUUUAUAACAAACUCUUGAAAAGACAAAUCUAAUCUAUAGUGACAGAAAUCAGAUCAGGAGCUAAGUGUACACAUUCGUCACACAUAGGAACAUUUUGUUGUAUGUAAAUUAUAUUUCAAUGAAGUUGAUAUAAAUUUAGGGGAGCCUGGGUGGCGCAGUCCUUUGAGCCUCCGGCUCUUGGUUUCAGCUCAAGCGGUGAUCUCAGGGUCCUGAG
Zalophus californianus (California sea lion) is the source of this 2855-nucleotide long non-coding RNA. RefSeq lists it as uncharacterized. The record is from RefSeq and is a predicted model, not a curated record. NCBI's taxonomy places the organism in Eukaryota, Metazoa, Chordata, Mammalia, Carnivora, Otariidae. The transcript has 9 exons.